This is a long non-coding RNA of Coffea arabica (coffee), 1174 nucleotides long. RefSeq lists it as uncharacterized. Lineage: Eukaryota; Viridiplantae; Streptophyta; Magnoliopsida; Gentianales; Rubiaceae. The record is from RefSeq and is a predicted model, not a curated record.
GAGUCACGCUGGGCCAAAAUAAAACUAGGCAGUACAAGAGAGCCCAGAACUUUCAUUAGAUUGGCUGCUUGGGCCUACCCCAUUCUGAGCCUAAGAAAAUAAUAAUAAUAAUGUUUCCAAUCCUUCAUUACCGUCAGAAAUCUGCAUGAGAGCAACAUGGUGUCCCGUCCCGUGUGCUACGAAUGGCAAUACGCAGCUCUCGUUCCUCUCUCAAAUUUUUCUUCAUUUAUGCCUAGCUCCCAGCAAUUCUUUUCUCUCAGAAUUUCGUUGCCGUGAUUUUAGUAUGUGUGUAAUGUGUCUUAGACUUGAAUGAUGGUGCUCACUUUUGCUGGUUCAUGGACUGAAAAAUUGUGCUUCGAACGUCAACCGCUUGUAGUAAUGCCCCAAUGAAGCUAAUUUGACAGCACUUGUCACCGGUGGUUUUUAGGAAGUAUAAGGUCGUGUUUGGAUUGCAUUUUCCAUAUUUUUGGUUUAUAGGUGGAGGAACAAGUGCUAAUGCGCAAAUUCUACGAAUUGUGGUCGGCUCAAGGUCCGAGUCAUAAGAACGCAGAGGGAAAUUUUGUGCAGAGUGACAAGGAGAAUGGCCUUGCCAAAAAGCAUCAAUGAGUGUGACCGCUGGCAAACAGGAAUUUAGAUUUCAACUCUCUGAUUGGUUAGCUAAACGUGUCUGUAAAUGUAGUACAUUGAUUAUCUUGAAUUAAUAUGCAAUUCACCUCGCCAUCUUAAUUCGAGCUUCUUUGUAACUCAACUAUAUUGAUGCUUCCGGGGUUUUUUUUUUUCAAAUGCUUCCGUGACUGUCAAAGUUCAAUUUAUGGUAUCUGUUUAUUGGAUACAAAAUGGAAACAAGUGUUGAGGAUGAUGUGCAUGUUCGACAAAGUUGGCUGAUCUGAAGCUAUAAUAUACGAGUCUUUGCUGCUUGCAUGCGCGGCGAUGAUAUAUUAAUCUGGCGGCAAAAUUCUCAAUACCGCAGUGGUUCUUCUUCCCACAAGUCAGUUAAACUGUUCAAAUGAUCUCUGAUCCUCCUGCCAUGAAAGGUCCUAGAAUGAAGUUUCUAUGAUGAAAUAUCGUAGAUUGAAGUUGAUAACUUUCCUGUAAAUUGCAAAUUGUAACACACAAGACUGAAAGAGCAGAUUGCGUUCCUAGUGAAAAUUUUUGUUCUCCUAGGAGUUUCUAG